Tripterygium wilfordii is the source of this 112-nucleotide small nucleolar RNA. RefSeq annotates it as small nucleolar RNA snoR109. The record is from RefSeq and is a predicted model, not a curated record. The transcript has a single exon. Lineage: Eukaryota; Viridiplantae; Streptophyta; Magnoliopsida; Celastrales; Celastraceae.
UGGCUAUAGCUUUAUCAAAACAGGCUGAGUAGUGAACUGGCCGGUUGUUGUUUUGUUUGAGAUUUUAAUCAAGUCUCUAUUUCUAUAUCUACUUUUCGAACUUCUCACAUUU